This 303-nucleotide long non-coding RNA is filed under the name Ursus maritimus (polar bear). RNAcentral describes it as "lncRNA (ENSUMAG00000006427.1)". The record is from RNAcentral. Lineage: Eukaryota; Metazoa; Chordata; Mammalia; Carnivora; Ursidae.
CGCAGAGAUAUGCAGUAAUUAUGCACCAUAUUUUUCUUAUUGGAAUUUGAUCUUGAAAUUUUGGUUAUGUCUAUUUAUACAGGUCAAAAGUGGAAUAUUGAGACAAUUGACAAAUAAUAAAGACAUGGUAUUUAAGUCCCUUGCUCUCUAGACACGCUGUAAGAUACAUCCUAAAUCUAGCACCUUGAACGACCUCCAAAAUCUCUGAAGCCUAAACUUUAUCGUAUUGUCUAGAUUAUGGUAGGAAAAAAAUUAUCUACAUUGAGUGACUUUAAUCUUCUGUGCCUCACAACUGGAGGGAUU